Hypoxylon cercidicola is the source of this 95-nucleotide non-coding RNA. Lineage: Eukaryota; Fungi; Ascomycota; Sordariomycetes; Xylariales; Hypoxylaceae. The record is from the annotation of a GenBank genome assembly.
GGCACGAUGGCGGAGUGGUCUAACGCGUGAGACUUGAACCGUGUUCACGAUAUCUCAUAUCUUCGGAUGCGCAGGUUCGAAUCCUGCUCGUGUCG